GUUUCUCAUUGUUUCUCAAUUAAGAGAGAUUUAUUAAGUCAGAUUAAACAAAACAUGUGGUAUUUCAUCUAGGCUGACGAGCCGCGGACAGAUCACUCCAAAUAGAGCUUUCAGCCAUCAGAGCCCCUCCUAGCAGAGGUUAAAAGAGAGAGCUAGUUAAAGCCCCAACUUCAGUGAUGAAACGAACCGCGACCGCCAAUAGACAUUUCAAUGGUUCACAAGGGUGUUGAUUUGAUCCUGCGCCGCAAAUAUGCAUGCACUUCUGCAGCGCAGUCACAAAAGAUUGUUAAUGAUCCAACCGCAGGUUCACCUACGGUUA
RNAcentral lists this unclassified non-coding RNA (319 nucleotides) under uncultured fungus. Its description in RNAcentral is "sequence contains ITS1". Lineage: Eukaryota; Fungi. The record is from RNAcentral.